CAGUCAAUAGAACAUGUAGUCAAUACAUUUUUGAAAUAUGUAUGCUGAGAUCACCACCUUUGCCAGAGAAAAGCCUGCCUUUAUAUGGAGCCUUUAUGGGAUCCAUUUAGGAUUUGAAACAGUUUGUUCAACUCCAUCAUCAAAGUGAACAUUUGCAACAAGGACAACUUUUGGCAAAACAUCCAUGUGAUUAAAGCAUGACAGAGG
Long non-coding RNA from Alligator sinensis (Chinese alligator), 207 nucleotides. RefSeq lists it as uncharacterized. Lineage: Eukaryota; Metazoa; Chordata; Crocodylia; Alligatoridae. The record is from RefSeq and is a predicted model, not a curated record. The transcript is spliced from 3 exons.